GCAGAGCGGGCUGGACCGAGGCCGUGGUCUCGCCAGGCGUCAGCACAACACGGGGAGCGCGAAGGGGCCUGAGAGCGCACACGAGGCACUGGCUGUGACGACAGCCUGGCACCAGUGUAACUGUGGUAACCACAAAGCUAGGAUCAGAACAAACCAUGCAGACGUCCCCAAGCUACACACGAUGCCCGUCACAGCCCACGAGCACCAAGAAAGCACAGCCAGUGUGCCCUCAGCAAACGCCACCACAAGUUCUGGGGUGGAUCACCACUAACCCUCGAUAUUCCACCUUCAACAGUCCAGAGCGCUAACCAGCAGCAAAGAGCAAAGCGACAGCUGUAUCCCAACAUGUCCCAACACACCGUCUCCCUGGAAAGACCCUUACUGACCAACAGUCAGAA
This is a long non-coding RNA of Bubalus bubalis (water buffalo), 398 nucleotides long. RefSeq lists it as uncharacterized. The transcript is spliced from 3 exons. Lineage: Eukaryota; Metazoa; Chordata; Mammalia; Artiodactyla; Bovidae. The record is from RefSeq and is a predicted model, not a curated record.